Molecule: ribosomal RNA, 811 nt
Filed under: uncultured bacterium
Lineage: Bacteria
Description: bacterial SSU rRNA
Rfam family: Bacterial small subunit ribosomal RNA
Source: RNAcentral
GGCGAACGGGUGAGGAUCACGUGAGAAACGUGCCCCAGACUCUGGGAUAACAAUUGGAAACGAUUGCUAAUACCGGAUGACGUCGGAGAAUCGCAUGAUUCACUGACGAAAGAUAUUUCGGUUUGGGAGCGUCUCGCGGCCUAUCAGCUUGUUGGUGGGGUAAUGGCCUACCAAGGCAACGACGGGUAGCUGGUCUGAGAGGAUGAUCAGCCACACUGGGACUGAGACACGGCCCAGACUCCUACGGGAGGCAGCAGUGGGGAAUCUUGCGCAAUGGGCGAAAGCCUGACGCAGCAACGCCGCGUGCGGGAUGAAGGCCUUCGGGCUGUAAACCGCUUUCAGCAGGAACGAAAAUGACGGUACCUGCAGAAGAAGGAGCGGCCAACUACGUGCCAGCAGCCGCGGUGACACGUAGGCUCCAAGCGUUGUCCGGAUUUAUUGGGCGUAAAGAGCUCGUAGGCGGUUGAGUAAGUCGGGUGUGAAAACUCUGGGCUUAACCCGGAGACGCCAUCCGAUACUGCUCUGACUAGAGUUCAGGAGGGGAGUGGGGAAUUCCUAGUGUAGCGGUGAAAUGCGCAGAUAUUAGGAGGAACACCGGUGGCGAAGGCGCCACUCUGGACUGAAACUGACGCUGAGGAGCGAAAGCAUGGGUAGCAAACAGGAUUAGAUACCCUGGUAGUCCAUGCCGUAAACGGUGGGCACUAGGUGUGGGUUCCAACUAACGGGAUCCGCGCCGUCGCUAACGCAUUAAGUGCCCCGCCUGGGGAGUACGGUCGCAAGACUAAAACUCAAAGGAAUUGACGGGGGCCCG